Drosophila guanche is the source of this 712-nucleotide long non-coding RNA. RefSeq lists it as uncharacterized. The record is from RefSeq and is a predicted model, not a curated record. Lineage: Eukaryota; Metazoa; Arthropoda; Insecta; Diptera; Drosophilidae. The transcript is spliced from 3 exons.
ACAGAACAAGUAACAUCGUUUUGUUUCUUCUAAUUUUUAAAUUUAAUUUAAUUUCAAUAAUAUUAUUUUCAUUAAUUUUUUUUUUUUGAGUCGAUAUGUCGGACACUUUAUUAAUUUCAUCUGCUGGCAGUGCCACCGAGUCUGCUCUUGCAGAUUCUAGUGGAGUGCGACCCGUUUCUGGAUUUCGCAAUUAUCUGCAUCAAUCAAGAGGAUUGUGGUAACUCAAUAUGAGUUAUUUUCUUAAAUAAUAACUACACGACAAAUAUUAACAACGGAGAAUUUUCUUUACAACAAAACUUUACAAAAACUAACCAAAUGAAGAAACACGUCUGAGCGUUUUAAGUCAGUUCUGACAAUUGAACAUUUUUUUUACAAAUCAAGAAAUCUCUAUCGCUAUCUGUAUCUGUACUUCCCACACAUAUUCUUCCUUUGCUAGUCCACUGUACACCACUUCUAAACUUUCACCAGAUCCUUGUGGUGAUUGAGGAUCAGUGUGUAUAGUUUUAAAACAACUUGUCUGCUUCCUGAAUGGUCAUGGCAUACACGAAGACACGCCCAUGGUCAUGCAGCUGGGCCACAACGCCUGGGACAAGAUCAAGACAGUUUACUCCAUUCUUUUUCACGUGCAAAUUUGAAUGGAUAAAUGCGAUUUGCAUUUUCUGAAAAAUAAAAGCAAUUAAAUAAAUUGAGUCCUUGAAGGGGAUUCCUUUCA